Long non-coding RNA from Rhinichthys klamathensis goyatoka, 701 nucleotides. RefSeq lists it as uncharacterized. The record is from RefSeq and is a predicted model, not a curated record. Lineage: Eukaryota; Metazoa; Chordata; Actinopteri; Cypriniformes; Leuciscidae. The transcript has 2 exons.
UAAGAAGUUAUAUUUUGCAUGGAGAAAAUUAAACAGCAACAAAAAAUCAUGUAAUAUAGAGUAAAAAUUGUAUGACGGUAAAUGGGAAUUACAGAUAUUAAAAUGCGCUUAAUUUUCUUCAGGUACAAUAUAAUUUCUCUUUUUCCUUUUGAUAAUGGGGUGAUAUGAAUAUACGUUUUCUUCAUAUUUACAUUUUUAUUCGGAUGAUGUUGUUGUAUUUUUGCAUUCAUGGUAGAAUAUGAAAAUUUUAACACCUUCUGAUUUUAAAUGUGGUUGAUUAUUUGUCUUUUUAAAUAUUUGCUCACCAACAAUCCCUGAGAAAACACAUUGCAUGUUGAUAAACGCUGGACUCUUUGGCCACGUCUCAGUCGUCCAGCUUCCCUCUCGUGCCCUUGUGUUAACCUUUGAGAACUGACGCACACUUUUGAGAAUGCACACUUCUGGUAAUUACCGCUGCUGCAUGGAUUGUGAAAGUUGCCUUAACAUGUUGCUGUAGUGUAAAUAGUGUCUGAAUGCUGUGUUUACAUCAUGAGAAACUAGAGAAAGGGAAGUUCAAGCACAUUUGUUCCUGUUAAGUGUGUAUUGCUAUUGAUAUGACUGAUGUGUGUGUUGAUAUUCAUCAUCUGUUGUGUGUGUGUGUGUGUGUGUGUGUGUGUGUGUAGUGUACUGAUAUAUAUGUAUAUUAAAAAAAGCAAAACAUU